GAGGUGAAAUUCGUAGAUAUUAGAAAGAAUACCAAUUGCGAAGGCAGCUUUCUGGAUCAUUACUGACACUGAGGAACGAAAGCAUGGGUAGCGAAGAGGAUUAGAUACCCUCGUAGUCCAUGCCGUAAACGAUGUGUGUUAGACGUUGGAAAUUUAUUUUCAGUGUCGCAGCGAAAGCGAUAAACACACCGCCUGGGGAGUACGACCGCAAGGUUAAAACUCAAAUGAAUUGACGGGGACCCGCACAAGUAGUGGAGCAUGUGGUUUAAUUCGAAGAUACGCGCAGAACCUUACCAACACUUGACAUGUUCGUCGCGACUCUAAGAGAUUAGAGUUUUCGGUUCGGCCGGACGAAACACAGGUGCUGCAUGGCUGUCGUCAGCUCGUGUCGUGAGAUGUUGGGUUAAGUCCCGCAACGAGCGCAACCCUCACUUUUAGUUGCCAUCAUUAAGUUGGGCACUCUGAAAGAACUGCCAGUGAUAAGCUGGAGGAAGGUGGGGAUGACGUCAAGUCCUCAUGGCCCUUACGUGUUGGGCUACACACGUGCUACAAUGGUAUCUACAACAGGAAGCAAGACUGCGAAGUUAAGCAAAUCCCUAAAAGAUACCUCAGUUCGGAUUGCACUCUGCAACUCGAGUGCAUGAAGCUGGAAUUACUAGUAAUCGUGGAUCAGCGUGCCACGGUGAAUGCGUUCCCGGGUCUUGUACACACCGCCCGUCACACCAUGGGAGUUGGUUCUACCUUAAGGCAAGGUUUAAAACCCUUGACCACGGUAUAGUCAGCGACUGGGGUGAAGUCGUAACAAGGUAACCGUA
This 815-nucleotide ribosomal RNA is filed under the name uncultured bacterium. RNAcentral describes it as "bacterial SSU rRNA". It matches the Rfam family "Bacterial small subunit ribosomal RNA", at positions 678 to 1504 of the family's 1533-position model. The record is from RNAcentral.